GAGGGCAGAGCUCAGUGGUAGAGCGCAUGCUUAGUAUGCAGGAUGCCCUGGGUUCAGUCUCCAGUACCUCCA
This 72-nucleotide transfer RNA is filed under the name Camelus bactrianus (Bactrian camel). It matches the Rfam family "tRNA". Rfam says of the family: Transfer RNA (tRNA) molecules are approximately 80 nucleotides in length. Their secondary structure includes four short double-helical elements and three loops (D, anti-codon, and T loops). RNAcentral also lists the same sequence under 2 other names. The record is from Rfam by way of RNAcentral. Lineage: Eukaryota; Metazoa; Chordata; Mammalia; Artiodactyla; Camelidae.